Long non-coding RNA from Zootermopsis nevadensis, 905 nucleotides. RefSeq lists it as uncharacterized. The record is from RefSeq and is a predicted model, not a curated record. NCBI's taxonomy places the organism in Eukaryota, Metazoa, Arthropoda, Insecta, Blattodea, Termopsidae.
CUUGAAUUAAACGCCUAUAAAUCUUUAUAGGCCAAUAUUUCUCCACAACAGAUACCUUCCACAAUGUCUUGUCACGACAGACCUAGCAAUUUCACCUCAAGAAAAUCCCUACCAUAGAUUGUUACUCAAGCCACCUAUGAAUGAGUGCGAAAUAAUGAAUUGAGAAUUGUGGUAGCGGCAAUGGUAGCUGAGUCGGUAACGAGGAUCCAACCUGUUCACGAUAUGAAAACGUGAACCAUGACAACAUUCAUCUAAUGCCAAAGUGAAAAAUGUAGAUCUUUGAUCUCCACUGCUCAUGUCUUCACAUUGUGGUGCCCAGAAUUGGACUAUUCACAGACAUGAAUUAAGGAAAGUACAGUAAACAACUUCUUCAGUGUAAAAUCAAAAGACAUUGUAAUCAUAACCUAAGAAUUUCAUAAAUACACUUUUUGACUUAGCUAUGCUGAAAAAUAAUUCUGCACUGAUGAUACAUCUGCUGACAGUGGAGGAUAAUUUAAAAAUAUGUAAAUUUCGAUUCAAGUAAGAUUCACAAUUACUUUAAGCAUUUGCUAGGCAAAAGGGUGAAUAUACAGAACUGACCUACAUUUGGAAGCUUAACAAUGAAACUAAAUCUGCUCAGGCUUCUAUACUAGCAUUUACAUCUUCUUUAUUACCAACGUGAGAAGAUAAUAGAGAUAGGAAGAGAAAUACACCUUAAAAUAAUAAGUUCAUUACAAUUUUUUUUGCUUUGUAUAUAUUUUAUUUAUUUUUAAUCUAUUUACAUCAUAAUACAAAUUCAAUAACAUACAAUUUUUAACAGUGUAUGUCGUUUUAAUAAGUUAUCCCUCAAGAGAAACAUCAGUGAUAAUACUACUAAUGACUAUCCAAAUUUUAUGCUUCAAACAAUUUUAUUGCUGUAAAUAAAU